This 540-nucleotide ribosomal RNA is filed under the name uncultured archaeon. RNAcentral describes it as "bacterial SSU rRNA". It matches the Rfam family "Archaeal small subunit ribosomal RNA", at positions 333 to 874 of the family's 1478-position model. The record is from RNAcentral.
CAGCAGGCGCGAAAACUUUACAAUGCACGAAAGUGUGAUAAGGGAAUCCAAAGUGCUCAUGCACAGCAUGGGCUUUUGCCAAGGGUAAAUACCUUGGAGAAUAAGUGGUGGGUAAGACUGGUGCCAGCAGCCGCGGUAACCCCAGCGCCACGAGUGGGAGCCACAAUUAUUUGGCCUAAAGCGUCCGUAGCUGGCUUAGUAAAUCUUUUGUGAAAUCGGAAAGCUUAACUUUUCGGCGUGCAGAAGACACUGCUAUGCUUGAGACCGGGAGGGGUAAGGAGUAUUUCUAGGGAACCGGUAAAAUGGGAUAAUCCUAGAAAGACUACCUGUGGCGAAGGCGCCUUACCAGCACGGGUCUGACAGUGAGGGACGAAGGCUAGGGGAGCGAACCGGAUUAGAUACCCGAGUAGUCCUAGCAGUAAACGCUGCGGGCUAGGUGUUACACCAUCCAUGAGAUUGUGUAGUGUCGUAGCGAAGGCAUUAAGCCCGCCGCCUGGGAAGUAUGGUCGCAAGAGUGAAACUUAAAGGAAUUGGCGGGGG